This 2799-nucleotide long non-coding RNA is filed under the name Homo sapiens (human). RNAcentral describes it as "PREDICTED lncRNA (TCONS_00188085)". The stretch from base 1579 to 1657 matches the Rfam family "CLRN1 antisense RNA 1 conserved region". Lineage: Eukaryota; Metazoa; Chordata; Mammalia; Primates; Hominidae. The record is from RNAcentral.
AAAAAAUGAUUUUCUUCUGUUGGCUUGGCAUGAUGAGAAACGGCUUCUGUGAGGGCGAGGUUCAAAAACAAGACCUUUGUGAGCAAUGGGAAGGGACUGCCUCUUUGACUGCAUUUAUUACGGAAGCUGAACGGACAGCUCCCAGCUGAAAAGGCAACUUCACCAUCGACGGUUCUCGCCAGGUUAAAUGUCAGUAGAUGAAGGCCUCAUCAUCACUCAUACUUGGCUUUUCUCCUUUUCUGCUGCUUCUUCUCCCUAAUUGGAAAUCUUUGGACUAAGAAUCUGUAAAACAAGUCUUUCAAACUGCCUUCAAGUAUCUCCUCUGUGUCACUUGGUAACAAAGGUCGAAGAUAACAGAUGGAGUCCUCAGUGUAACUUGAUAAAUGUUUCCCUUCCUCAGCCUUUUGUCUGAUUGGACAUCUGGAAGGAGGCAGUUGUUGGCUUUGUUACAGUGGUUCAAGAAUGUCAGAAUUGCAGUCACUACAAUUCUCCUGGCUUUUCUCUCAUGGUCCCCAAAUGACUGCUGGAGUUUCAGCCAUCAUAUCAGUGAUCAAGGCAGCUGGAUCCAGGCAGUAAUCCAGACACUUGGAAGUCCCACCCAAGGACUUCUGCUCUUAUCUCAUUGGUCAUCUUUGUCUGAAAGGAAAGCUGUGAAAUACAGUAUUAUUAAUAAGCACGUUGCUGGCUCCAAUAAUAUAGAGUCUUGUUAACAACAAAGAAGAGGAGAAUGGAGAUUGAGCAACCAGGAAGCAGUCUCAGCCACACCAUCAUAUGGAGAAGUGCCUGUUUCCCAUUCUGCCCGAUUUUAAGUUUCCUGAGGCACCCCCAGCCAUGCAGAACUCUCUGGUGCCUGGCCCACAGGAAGUUUUCACUAAAUAUUGAAAUAAACUGAACUUAGAUUAAACUUUGGUGUCUAACUUAGGAAAAACAACAAGAGUUCUACAAAACUAUUUCUUCACAGGAAAGUCUGAAGCCAGGCCUGCUUAGCAGAGGUCUCCGUAUAGUAGGGAUCUCACUCUUUCAAGAUGUAGGAUCUCAACUGGUUAGCCAGCCCUCUGAGUGAAGCUGGUCAGUUGGGGCUGUGACAACAUAGCACACUCAAAGGGGCAGACCCUUCUCAGCUCCAACAGAUUGGUGUCAUUGGAAAAGGUGGACCCAGUGUAGGCAGACUUUCCUAGAGAGUCCAGAAGUGACUGUGCAAGCCCAAAGCAAUCCAAACAAAUAUUUGUGGACCACCAAGAACCUCUGGUAUGAAGUAAAUAAUAAAGGCAUUGAACAAUAAUAACCUGUCUGUAUAUCCACCAAUGGGACCGAUGGGCCACAGUGUGACAUCUAUCCUAUUCAUGUCAUAAGGGAGAUGAAUUCUACUGUGGGACAGUCUGUGUGACUGCUCGUAGGAGAUUAUCCAAUUCCUUUUGCUCUAAUUUCAUGGUCACCAAAUUUCUGCUUGCUAACUUUGUUUUACAACAAACUUUAGAAAGGAGGUGAUCUGAAUAAGAGGAUAUAUGUUUUUCAGUCUCUGGAAAGGGGUAUUUCUUUGUAUUGAGAAGCCAGAACUCUUGAGUGUGUUGAGCCUUGUAGAGAUUGAACCACUCUGGGUCAGCUGACAAAAUAAGAUUCUGGUGCUGAAAAGCUGAGUAUGUGACCAUGAUAUUAACAGUGACCUAAGUUUGUGUGGCCCCCUUCGUUCUCCAGAAACCAACCAGUCAGCCUUCAUUUUGUAAAUGUAGCAGACACCAUUUUGCUAGUGAAUGAGGUUAAAUCUUUAGCCUUGUCAUUGGUUCGGCUUUGUAAUUUAAAACUCUCUUAUUUUACCCUCUGAUUUUAAAUCCCCAGAUUUUCCUUUCUGUGUCCUUUGCCCCCUGAAGUUUCCAUCUGUCUAGCAACUAAGCACUGUUUGGGUAUCUACUGUCUUCCCCAAGUUGCCUUUACUUUUCUUCUUUACCUUUCUCUUGUUUUAUUUAUUUCUUUCUUUUUUUGAAAUGGAGUCUUGCUCUGUCACCCAGGCGGGAAUGCAGUGGCGCAAUCUCGGCUCAUUGCAACCUCCACCUCCCGGGUUCAAGCAGUUCUCCUGCCUCAGCCUAAUGAGUAGCUGGAAUUACAGGUGUGCACCCCCAUACCUGACUAAGUUUUGUAUUUUCAGUAGAGACGGGGUUUCACCAUGUUGGCCGGGCUGGACUUGAACUCCUAACCUCAGGUGAUCCGCCCUCCUUGGCCUCCCAAAGUGCUGGGAUUACAGGCAUGAGCCACCACACACAGCCUCUCUUGUUUUACUUCUGUCAUUACUUUUUGUUCUUUUAAUUUGGAAACCCACCUGCUUCCUCAGUGUCAUUAUUAAAAACCCACAUGUUACAGGUUCAUUAGGACUGAAACAUUCCUUCAGAGCUGAGCUGACCAACAUGUUAGCCACUAGCCACAUGUGACUAUUGCAUACAUGAAAUGCAAAAUGUGGCUGGUCUGAAAUGAUGGUAUAGGUAUGAAAUUCACACAAGAUUUAGAAUACUGAAGAUAAAAAAGAAUGUAAAGUAUCUCAUUAAUACUUUUUUUGGUAUUGAUCACCUAUUGAAAUGGUAAUAUUUGGUUAUACUGGCUUAAGCAAAUGUACAUUAAAAUUAAUUUCAUCUAUUUCUUUUUACUUCUUUAAUACCAGAAAAUGUAAAAGUACCUAUCUGGCAAGCAAUAUAAAACUAUUGGUCAGUGCUACUUGAGAGUCUUAAUGUCUGUAUUUUUUAUAUCUCUGUAAGCAUAAAUGCUGUAUUAAAAACCCAAUUUGAAUAAACACCCCCAAAUUACUCUUCC